CAGCCGCCGCGGUAAUACGGAGGAUCCAAGCGUUAUCCGGAAUCAUUGGGUUUAAAGGGUCCGUAGGCGGUCUUGUAAGUCAGUGGUGAAAGCCCAUCGCUCAACGGUGGAACGGCCAUUGAUACUGCAGGACUUGAAUUAUUGGGAAGUAACUAGAAUAUGUAGUGUAGCGGUGAAAUGCUUAGAGAUUACAUGGAAUACCAAUUGCGAAGGCAGGUUACUACCAAUUGAUUGACGCUGAUGGACGAAAGCGUGGGUAGCGAACAGGAUUAGAGACCCCGGUAGUCCCUGUCUCUUAUAU
RNAcentral lists this ribosomal RNA (301 nucleotides) under uncultured bacterium. RNAcentral describes it as "partial 16S ribosomal RNA". It matches the Rfam family "Bacterial small subunit ribosomal RNA", at positions 509 to 809 of the family's 1533-position model. The record is from RNAcentral.